GACGAACGCUGGCGGCGUGCCUAAUACAUGCAAGUCGAACGCAGUGGGGAUGGGUGAGUAACACGUGGGUAACCUCCCAUCUGAGGGGGGAAACCUUGGCUACAGGUGCUAAACCGCUACUGAUGGAUGGACCCGCGGUGCAUUAGCCAGUGGGUGAGGUAACGGCUCACCAAGGCGACGAUGCAUAGCCGGCCUGAGAGGCUGAUCAGCCACACUGGGACUGAGACACGGCCCAGACUCCUACGGGAGGCAGCAGUAGGGAAUAUUGGGCAAUGGACGAAAGUCUGACCCAGCAACGCCGCGUGAGUGAAGAAGGUUUUCGGAUCGUAAAGCUCUGUUGUUAGAGAGGCGGUAUCUAACCAGGAAGCCACGGCUAACUACGUGCCAGCAGCCGCGGUAAUAC
RNAcentral lists this ribosomal RNA (403 nucleotides) under uncultured bacterium. Its description in RNAcentral is "partial 16S ribosomal RNA". It matches the Rfam family "Bacterial small subunit ribosomal RNA", at positions 28 to 526 of the family's 1533-position model. The record is from RNAcentral.